GAUGAACGCUGGCGGCGUGCUUAACACAUGCAAGUCGAACGGAAAGGCUCCUGCUUGCAGGGGUACUCGAGUGGCGAACGGGUGAGUAACACGUGGGUGAUCUGCCCUGCACUUCGGGAUAAGCCUGGGAAACUGGGCCUAAUACCGGAUAGGACGAUGGUUUGGAUGCCAUUGUGGAAAGUUUUUUCGGUGUGGGAUGAGCUCGCGGCCUAUCAGCUUGUUGGUGGGGUAUUGGCCUACCAAGGCGUCGACGGGUAGCCGGCCUGAGAGGGUGUACGGCCACAUUGGGACUGAGAUACGGCCCAGACUCCUACGGGAGGCAGCAGUGGGGAAUAUUGCACAAUGGGCGCAAGCCUGAUGCAGCGACGCCGCGUGGGGGAUGACGGCCUUCGGGUUGUAAACUCCUUUCGCUAGGGACGAAGCGCAAGUGACGGUACCUGGAGAAGAAGCACCGGCUAACUACGUG
This 466-nucleotide ribosomal RNA is filed under the name uncultured bacterium. RNAcentral describes it as "partial 16S ribosomal RNA". It matches the Rfam family "Bacterial small subunit ribosomal RNA", at positions 28 to 507 of the family's 1533-position model. The record is from RNAcentral.